This 234-nucleotide long non-coding RNA is filed under the name Brassica napus (rape). Its description in RNAcentral is "long non-coding RNA (BNAP_LNC025750)". The record is from RNAcentral. Lineage: Eukaryota; Viridiplantae; Streptophyta; Magnoliopsida; Brassicales; Brassicaceae.
GAAAGCAGAUAGAAAGGUUUCAGAAGUAAUGGUAUUCAGAGAUUCAAUGAUGUCAAAGGAAGUAUGUAGACCGCAGUAUAUGAAAGUUAUAUGCGAUGAAGAAUUGGUUAUCGUGAAAGUGUUUGCUAAGAAAAGAAAGAAUUGUUUUAGAAAAGUUGGGGAAAUCCGCAAAUCUGUUUUUUGGUCUGUACCGAGUUAUUCAGAGUUGAAAUGGUUAUCUGUUGACCGGAACUU